UACGUAGGGUGCGAGCGUUAAUCGGAAUUACUGGGCGUAAAGCGUGCGCAGGCGGCUUUGCAAGACAGAUGUGAAAUCCCCGGGCUCAACCUGGGAACUGCAUUUGUGACUGCAAGGCUAGAGUACGGCAGAGGGGGAUGGAAUUCCGCGUGUAGCAGUAAAAUGCGUAGAUAUGCGGAGGAACACCAAUGGCGAAGGCAAUCCCCUGGGCCUGUACUGACGCUCAUGCACGAAAGCGUGGGGAGCAAACAGG
RNAcentral lists this ribosomal RNA (253 nucleotides) under uncultured bacterium. Its description in RNAcentral is "partial 16S ribosomal RNA". It matches the Rfam family "Bacterial small subunit ribosomal RNA", at positions 524 to 776 of the family's 1533-position model. The record is from RNAcentral.